This is a long non-coding RNA of Hyla sarda, 810 nucleotides long. RefSeq lists it as uncharacterized. The record is from RefSeq and is a predicted model, not a curated record. Lineage: Eukaryota; Metazoa; Chordata; Amphibia; Anura; Hylidae. The transcript has 3 exons.
AGAGAGAGAGAAGAAGCUGGGGACAUCCAUAGAGUGACUAGAGCAGACCUGGAGUUAUGUCAGGACAGGCUGGAGGAUUAAAGCUGUAUGAAGAGUUUGGCUGUGACUAGUAGGGAGUUCUGGAUUUAGAUAUGUGUGUGGUGCACUGAAGACAAGUCCAUAGACAGGAGCUGCUAGAUCAUAGUCCAGGGGAUGACAAGGCAAAGAAUAACAACAGCCAGGAAACCGCCAACCGAUGCUCCAACCAAAACUGCAACUGUGGAGUCCCUUUCUGGAGGAACUAGGAGAAGAACACAGGUGAACAACAGCCAGCUACUUCAUCUACCCCUAUAAUGGGAAGCAUGCAGACUUGGUGCCUGGAACAGCACAAGCUAUAUACAGCCCCAUGCUCACCGUGCAUGUGCCUUAGUACAGCAGAGCAGGGGAGAAAGAGAUCCUGUUGUAGGGGAGUAAAGAUGAGGUGAGUAUGUACAGGGAGUUUUUUCUCUUGAGGGGAGGCUCUUUACUGGGGGCGGGCAGCAUCUACAUCCUUGAGGCACCUACUGAGGGGAACCUGGCUACCUAUUUGGGGCAACUUCCUACUAGGGGGCCACCUACCUACUGUCAGGCUUCUGGCUACCUACUAAAGGGUACAUUCCUAUUUAGAGGGACUUUUCUACCUACAAGGGGAUCCUGGCUAUCUACUGGGGGACGUUACCUAAUGGGAACAUCUAUUUCCCUGCAGGGGUGCUCUUGCUAUCUACUGAGAAGCACCUAUCUAUCUAAUGGUGGCAUCUAUCCACUACUAGGGAGGCAGCUACCAACGGCAGC